GGCCUUUUGAAUUUAAUAUAAGGUCUGACCUGCCCAGUGAUAAUUUUAACGGCCGCGGUAUACUGACCGUGCAAAGGUAGCAUAAUCAUUAGUCUUUUAAUAGAGGGCUGGAAUGAAAGGUUUAACGAGGAACUGACUGUCUCAUUUUAUUUGUUUUAAAAUUUAAUUUUUUAGUUAAAAAGCUAAAAUUCUAUUGGUAGACGAGAAGACCCUAUAGAGCUUUACAUUAAUUUAUUUUGAUAUUUUUAUAUUAAUAUUUCUAAUUAAAUUUAUGUUUUGUUGGGGUGACAAAAAUAUAUAAUUAACUAUUUUAUUUAAUUAACAUUGAUUUAUGAAUAUUAGAUCCAUUAUUAUUGAUUAUUAGAUUAAGUUACCUUAGGGAUAACAGCGUAAUCUUCCUCCAGAGUUCAUAUCUACAGGAUGGGGUUGCGACCUCGAUGUUGGAUUAAGAUAAUAGUUAGGUGUAGCCGCUUAAUUAAUAGGUCUGUUCGACCUUUAAAAUCUU
Molecule: ribosomal RNA, 505 nt
Filed under: Orthetrum albistylum
Lineage: Eukaryota; Metazoa; Arthropoda; Insecta; Odonata; Libellulidae
Description: partial 16S ribosomal RNA
Rfam family: Bacterial large subunit ribosomal RNA
Source: RNAcentral